GGAGGACACGGGUUGUGGGCCCCUUGAGGGAUAAACAAGGGCAGUGUCUCACAUCUGUCUGAGCUUCUAAGAAGUCUCAGAGAGGUAGGGCUGAGAAGGAAAAACUGAGCAUAUGGCUUGAUCUAAUUACAGCUGUUUCCCUGGGGCUCCCAGCGGCUGCGUAUCUCUUAGGAGAGAUGGCGCAAGUGGGAGGGAAAGCUAUGAUAACCCGGGCUGCGCUGCAGGCAGGAGGGCACUGGCGGGCAAAGUUGAAGCCACCAUCUGUAGGACACGGAGAAAAGUUUGCCAAGUGACAAUGAAAAGACAGCAGCCAAGUCAAGGACAGAGGAGCUGAGCUGAAUCACCAGACAGCGGGACAAAG
This 361-nucleotide long non-coding RNA is filed under the name Homo sapiens (human). RNAcentral describes it as "HSALNT0234590". The record is from RNAcentral. Lineage: Eukaryota; Metazoa; Chordata; Mammalia; Primates; Hominidae.